CGCCAUUCUCCUGCCUCAGCCUCCCGAGUAGCUGCGACUACAGUUCUCAGUGUAUGGUGAGACAGAUCCUGCUUUCAGUUCAUCCUUGGUGAAUGCUAGUCAAAAUUCUAUGUGAUGUCACAACAGAAAUCUUCAGUUAACAGUCGUGGAAAGGACUCAAGCUCUACUCCAUCUCCACCUCCUUGGGUUUGGGUAAAUUCUCAGCAGGAUUGUGCAUUAGGUGAGUGUCUGCUUCUCCCCUGGGUCCCCAUAACUUUGCUUGCUCCUAAACAGGGAGUCACAUCUGGGAAGAGACAGUAGAUAAUGGAGCCAGAGAGCUGACUCACCACGUGGGAUGGCUGUGGGCAAGUUUCCCAGGUUGCACAAGCCACCGGGUUUUCUGAAACAGAUGGAAAGACCGCCUCUGCAGGCCGCUGGCUGACUUCAAGAUAGUCGUGCUGUAUCAAGUGGUGUGAGAAGGAAAGACCCAUAAGAGACUUUGUCAUCCAAGUUUCAGAUUCCCCUGGAUUCCUUAGCGAUAAGACAUGCAUGGCUCAUUACAUAUUCUAUUUAUGAAAUUUCUACGGGCAAAGACUCGAAUGCCCUUUAACUGGGUGCGCACAUGGGCAUCGCAUAGUUUUCCAGAGUAACCCAAGAUACUGGGGUGGAGAGAAAAAUGGAACCAGAAGACAAGCCAGCUUCUACCAAAGCCACCCAGCAGUCAGCCAGCCCAGACUCUCAAAUCUGGACCUGGGGGUCAGCCCUAGGUAGACAGGCAAGCCAUCUUUCAAAGGCUCCCAUGUCCUCUUAAUAAAGUGAGAGCCAGACAUUAGCAAUCAUUCUCACAAUUUUUAAAAACC
This 839-nucleotide long non-coding RNA is filed under the name Homo sapiens (human). RNAcentral's name for it is "HSALNT0353447". The record is from RNAcentral. Lineage: Eukaryota; Metazoa; Chordata; Mammalia; Primates; Hominidae.